GGAGAGUUGCCGGAGCGGUUGAUCGGGGCGGUCUCGAAAACCGUUGUGCCCAUGCGGGUACCCAGGGUUCGAAUCCCUGACUCUCCGCCA
This 90-nucleotide transfer RNA is filed under the name Candidatus Cloacimonadota bacterium. RNAcentral describes it as "tRNA-Ser". It matches the Rfam family "tRNA". Rfam says of the family: Transfer RNA (tRNA) molecules are approximately 80 nucleotides in length. RNAcentral also lists the same sequence under 1 other name. The record is from RNAcentral. Lineage: Bacteria; Pseudomonadati; Candidatus Cloacimonadota.